RNAcentral lists this ribosomal RNA (819 nucleotides) under uncultured Actinomycetes bacterium. RNAcentral's name for it is "bacterial SSU rRNA". It matches the Rfam family "Bacterial small subunit ribosomal RNA", at positions 335 to 1167 of the family's 1533-position model. Lineage: Bacteria; Bacillati; Actinomycetota; Actinomycetes. The record is from RNAcentral.
ACUCCUACGGGAGGCAGCAGUGGGGAAUAUUGCACAAUGGGCGCAAGCCUGAUGCAGCAACGCCGCGUGAGGGACGACGGCCUUCGGGUUGUAAACCUCUUUUAGUAGGGAAGAAGCGAAAGUGACGGUACCUGCAGAAAAAGCACCGGCUAACUACGUGCCAGCAGCCGCGGUAAUACGUAGGGUGCAAGCGUUAUCCGGAAUUAUUGGGCGUAAAGAGCUCGUAGGCGGUUUGUCGCGUCUGCUGUGAAAACUGGAGGCUCAACCCCCAGCCUGCAGUGGGUACGGGCAGACUAGAGUGCGGUAGGGGAGAUUGGAAUUCCUGGUGUAGCGGUGGAAUGCGCAGAUAUCAGGAGGAACACCGAUGGCGAAGGCAGAUCUCUGGGCCGUAACUGACGCUGAGGAGCGAAAGCAUGGGGAGCGAACAGGAUUAGAUACCCUGGUAGUCCAUGCCGUAAACGUUGGGAACUAGAUGUAGGGACCAUUCCACGGUUUCUGUGUCGCAGCUAACGCAUUAAGUUCCCCGCCUGGGGAGUACGGCCGCAAGGCUAAAACUCAAAGGAAUUGACGGGGGCCCGCACAAGCGGCGGAGCAUGCGGAUUAAUUCGAUGCAACGCGAAGAACCUUACCAAGGCUUGACAUAUACCGGAAAAGGCUAGAAAUAGUCUCCCCGCAAGGUCGGUAUACAGGUGGUGCAUGGUUGUCGUCAGCUCGUGUCGUGAGAUGUUGGGUUAAGUCCCGCAACGAGCGCAACCCUCGUUCUAUGUUGCCAGCACGUAAUGGUGGGAACUCAUAGGAGACUGCCGGGGUCAACUCGGA